Molecule: ribosomal RNA, 483 nt
Filed under: uncultured cyanobacterium
Lineage: Bacteria; Bacillati; Cyanobacteriota
Description: bacterial SSU rRNA
Rfam family: Bacterial small subunit ribosomal RNA
Source: RNAcentral
CGGUGGAGUAUGUGGUUUAAUUCGAUGCAACGCGAAGAACCUUACCAAGACUUGACAUGUCUAGAAUCUCGAUGAAAGUUGAGAGUGCCUUAGGGAACUAGAACACAGGUGGUCCAUGGCUUGUCGUCAGCUCGUGUCGUGAGAUGUUGGGUUUAAGUCCCGCAACGAGCGCAACCCUCGUCUUUAGUUGCCAUCAUUAAGUUGGGAACUCUAGAGAGACUGCCGGUGACAAACCGGAGGAAGGUGGGGAUGACGGUCAAGUCAGCAUGCCCCUUACGUCUUGGGCUACACACGUACUACAAUGGUCGGGACAACGGGCAGCUAAUCCGCGAGGACAAGCGAAUCCCAACAAACCCGGCCUCAGUUCAGAUUGCAGGCUGAAACUCGCCUGCAUGAAGGAGGAAUCGCUAGUAAUCGCAGGUCAGCAUACUGCGGUGAAUUCGUUCCCGGGCCUUGUACACACCGCCCGUCACACCAUGGGAG